UAGGAUUCCCUCAGUAGCUGCGAGCGAACAGGGAGAAGCCCAGCACCGAAUCCCGCGGCCGAUACCGGGCGCCGGGAAAUGUGGUGUUAGGGAGGAUCCGUCUAUCCCGAGGUCGUGCGGUGCGUCCAAGUCCUUCUUGAACGGGGCCACAGCCCAUAGAGGGUGCCAGGCCCGUAGCGACCGCUGCCGAUCGCGGGAGGAUCUCUCCUCAGAGUCGGGUUGCUUGAGAGUGCAGCCCUAAGUGGGUGGUAAACUCCAUCUAAGGCUAAAUAUGACCACGAGACCGAUAGCGAACAAGUACCGUGAGGGAAAGUUGAAAAGCACUUUGAAGAGAGAGUUCAAGAGUACGUGAAACCGUUCAGGGGUAAACCUGAGAAACCCGAAAGGUCGAAAGGGGAAAUUCAUUCGCGUUUCGGCCGCCGGCGUUGGAUGGUCGAGUGACGGACGGCGUACGCGUCGUCCGCGCCUUCCGUCUUUCGAACUGGCGUCGAACGCGUGCACUUUUCCCCUAGUAGGACGUCGCGAUCCGUUGGGUGUCGGUCUAAGACCUGCGGUGGAGCCCGGACGGACGUUUCGGCGUUCCGUCUGGACCCGUGGUGUUCCGGCCGACUCGCUCGACGGUAUACAGAUGGCGCGGGGCCGCUACCAACUCAGUUAGCGUUCGGCCCGCGGCAAGCGCGUUCGGCGUUUGACGGCGAUCGGACCUCGUUCCGGUCCUGUCCCCGAACGACUGUUGGCCUGCGGUGUUCUCGAACAGACCCCGUUUUGAAACGCCGAUCUGCGACGCUAUAGCUUUGGGUACUUUCAGGACCCGUCUUGAAACACGGACCAAGGAGUCUAGCAUGUGCGCGAGUCAUUGGGACAUAACUAAACCUAAAGGCGUAAUGAAAGUGAAGGUCCGCCUCGCGCGGAUCGAGGGAGGAUGGGCGGUUCGCCCUUAAAGUGGCCGCCCCGCACUCCCGGGGCGUCUCGUUCUCAUUGCGAGAAGAGGCGCACCAAGAGCGUACACGCUGGGACCCGAAAGAUGGUGAACUAUGCCUGGUCAGGACGAAGUCAGGGGAAACCCUGAUGGAGGUCCGUAGCGAUUCUGACGUGCAAAUCGAUCGUCGGAACUGGGUAUAGGGGCGAAAGACUAAUCGAACCAUCUAGUAGCUGGUUCCCUCCGAAGUUUCCCUCAGGAUAGCUGGCGCUCGUAGCGCACGAGUUUCAUCCGGUAAAGCGAAUGAUUAGAGGCAUUGGGGUCGAAACGACCUCAACCUAUUCUCAAACUUUAAAUGGGUGAGAUCUCCGGCUUGCUCGAACUCUUUGAUGAAGCCGCGAGACUCGAAUCAGAGUGCCAAGUGGGCCAUUUUUG
RNAcentral lists this ribosomal RNA (1354 nucleotides) under Prionus laticollis (broad-necked root borer). Its description in RNAcentral is "eukaryotic LSU rRNA". It matches the Rfam family "Eukaryotic large subunit ribosomal RNA", at positions 70 to 1139 of the family's 3401-position model. The record is from RNAcentral. Lineage: Eukaryota; Metazoa; Arthropoda; Insecta; Coleoptera; Cerambycidae.